GAUGAACGCUAGCUACAGGCUUAACACAUGCAAGUCGAGGGGAAACGACAUCGAAAGCUUGCUUUUGAUGGGCGUCGACCGGCGCACGGGUGAGUAACGCGUAUCCAACCUGCCCAUCACUUGGGAAUAACCUUGCGAAAGUAAGACUAAUACCCAAUGAUAUCCCACGAAGGCAUCGGAAUGGGAUUAAAGAUUUAUCGGUGAUGGAUGGGGAUGCGUCUGAUUAGCUUGUUGGCGGGGUAACGGCCCACCAAGGCAACGAUCAGUAGGGGUUCUGAGAGGAAGGUCCCCCACAUUGGAACUGAGACACGGUCCAAACUCCUACGAGAGGCAGCAGUGAGGAAUAUUGGUCAAUGGGCGAGAGCCUGAACCAGCCAAGUAGCGUGCAGGAAGACGGCCCUAUGGGUUGUAAACUGCUUUUAUAAGGGAAUAAAGUGGGUCACGUGUGACUUUUUGCAUGUACCUUAUGAAUAAGGACCGGCUAAUUCCGUG
Molecule: ribosomal RNA, 492 nt
Filed under: uncultured bacterium
Lineage: Bacteria
Description: partial 16S ribosomal RNA
Rfam family: Bacterial small subunit ribosomal RNA
Source: RNAcentral